This 254-nucleotide ribosomal RNA is filed under the name uncultured bacterium. RNAcentral's name for it is "partial 16S ribosomal RNA". It matches the Rfam family "Bacterial small subunit ribosomal RNA", at positions 524 to 776 of the family's 1533-position model. The record is from RNAcentral.
UACAGAGGUGGCAAGCGUUGUUCGGAAUUACUGGGCGUAAAGGGCGCGUAGGCGGCUCAUCAAGUCGGGCGUGAAAUCUCCGGGCUCAACCUGGAGAUGCCACUCGAGACUGCUAUGGCUAGAGUCCGGUAGGGGACCACGGAAUUCCUGGUGUAGCGGUGAAAUGCGCAGAUAUCAGGAGGAACACCGGUGGCGAAGGCGGUGGUCUGGGCCGGCACUGACGCUGAGGAGCGAAAGCGUGGGGAGCAAACAGG